UGCCCUGGGCGCCAUGAACUACUAAGUCC
This 29-nucleotide non-coding RNA is filed under the name Mus musculus (house mouse). The record is from RNAcentral. Lineage: Eukaryota; Metazoa; Chordata; Mammalia; Rodentia; Muridae.